This 795-nucleotide ribosomal RNA is filed under the name Triticum aestivum (bread wheat). RNAcentral's name for it is "partial small subunit ribosomal RNA". Lineage: Eukaryota; Viridiplantae; Streptophyta; Magnoliopsida; Poales; Poaceae. The record is from RNAcentral.
AUGGAUACAAAAAUCCUAAACUGGAAUGUUAGAGGCCUCAACAGUCUGGCCCGGAGAAGGGCUGUCCACAAUUUAAUCUGCAGCUCUGACUGUAAUAUCGUCUGUCUUCAAGAGACCAAAUUGGCUGUGGUGGACAAAUACAUCAUGGCUGAGUGCCUGGGCAGUAACUUCUCGGACAAUUUUAUUGCAAAGGAGGCUGUUGGUUCACGUGGCGGAAUAAUUGUUGCUGUCGCACAAGGUUUCUCCAUCUCCAUUGACCAUUCCACCUCGGGCACUCAUUUCAUCUCGGGAACUGUCGUGGAUCAAACCUCCAACUCUUCCUGGACCUUGAUUGUCGUUUAUGGCCCCCAAUUGGACGCUGAUAAGAUCUUGUUUAUGCAUGAACUGAAGAACUGCAAGCCUUUUGUUGCCUCUGACUGGUUGCUUGCUGGCGAUUUCAACUUGAUUUGCCAAACCUCUGAAAAGAGCAAUGACAACAUCAACCUGCGGAUGAUGGAACAUUUCAGAAAGAUGAUUGAUGAUCUUGAGCUCCGGGAGAUUGCCCUCUCGGGCCGGAAGUUCACCUGGUCCAAUGAGCGGGCGAACACAGUCCACACAAAAAUUGAUUGGGUGCUAUGCACAAAAGAAUGGGAGCUUCGCUAUCCGCAUUGCCACUUGACACCGCUAUCGACGAGCAUCUCAGACCACUGCCCGAUGAUUCUUCAGAACCUCGAGAUCAGGCACUUCCGGGGGUUCAGGUUUGAGGCCGCUUGGUUGAACAUGCAAGAUUUCCCUCUUGUGGUGGGACAUGCCUAG